CGCGUAGGCGGAUUGUUAAGUCAGUUGUGAAAAGCCCUGGGCUCAACCUAGGAACGGCGAUUGAAACUGGCAGUCUAGAGUUUAGUAGAGGGAAGGGGAAUUUCUGGAGUAGCAGUGAAAUGCGUAGAUAUCAGAAGGAACAUCAGUGGCGAAGGCGCCUUCCUGGACUAAAACUGACGCUGAGGUGCGAAAGCGUGGGGAGCAAACG
RNAcentral lists this ribosomal RNA (208 nucleotides) under uncultured bacterium. RNAcentral's name for it is "partial 16S ribosomal RNA". It matches the Rfam family "Bacterial small subunit ribosomal RNA", at positions 568 to 774 of the family's 1533-position model. The record is from RNAcentral.